UUCCCAGAUGACCUGGAGGCUCUCAGGGGAGAAACUGCCAGCUCAACUCUCGCUAAGGCUGCAGAUGGCCAUGAAUACCAAACAACAAACCUGCUGACUACAUGGACUAUCACAGGAGAAACCCCCUUCCCACAGCAUGCUGGGACCUUAGAAAGGGACAUCUGGUGGUGACAUGUUUUAACCGGAUACAGCCUGGCCUUCCUAACCCCCAGGGAUGGACAAGUCUCAUUGAAGUGGACAGUGAGACCUCAGAUUCAACUAAAUGCCCAUCACAGUCGUGAGCACAGUGACGUCUGUGGGAAUGUGAGAUGAAUUAGUGAAGCUGCUGAAGAGGACCAGAGAUAAUCAAAGCUAGAACCCUGAGGUGUACUCAUUAGUCGCUACAAGGAUGAAAGUAGAGGGAGAAGAGGAAAAGCUUAGGGGACCAGACAGCCUGGCUGGAGAUAAAGCAGGGCUCAGCCCACUGGUCAAAAGGCAUGUGAUGAGCAGACAGGCAGAGUCACCCUGAUUGCAAAGGCAAAUGACUUGAAGGGAAAGUCCUGCGGUUUCUGGAGCCAGGCUGG
Non-coding RNA from Heterocephalus glaber (naked mole-rat), 563 nucleotides. NCBI's taxonomy places the organism in Eukaryota, Metazoa, Chordata, Mammalia, Rodentia, Bathyergidae. The record is from RefSeq and is a predicted model, not a curated record.